GUGCUGACUUUAGUAGCACAUAUACUAAGACUGGAGAAAUAUGGAUAAAAUUAGCAUGGGCCCUAGGGAAGAAUGACAUGCAAGAAAGUGAAGUAAAAAAAAAAAGU
RNAcentral lists this small nuclear RNA (107 nucleotides) under Chinchilla lanigera (long-tailed chinchilla). Lineage: Eukaryota; Metazoa; Chordata; Mammalia; Rodentia; Chinchillidae. The record is from RNAcentral.